RNAcentral lists this long non-coding RNA (501 nucleotides) under Homo sapiens (human). Its description in RNAcentral is "non-protein coding lnc-TRIM43B-3:1". The record is from RNAcentral. Lineage: Eukaryota; Metazoa; Chordata; Mammalia; Primates; Hominidae.
UUUUGUAGUUGAUUUUUCCCUUCAGCCUGAAAGAGCCAAAGUCAUAUCUUCCUGUAUGGAGAUUUGAGAAGCCUGAAUGUUGGAUGUGACCCUCAAGAUGAUCCCCGUAUCACUGCAAAAUCGGAAUGUUUUCUCGUAUGGGGCGCUCAGACUUUCACAUCUGGCAAAUACUAUUGGGAGGUUCAUGUGGGGGACUCUUGGAAUUGGGCUUUUGGUGUCUGUAACAAUUAUUGGAAAGAGAAGAGACAGAAUGACAAGAUAGAUGGAGAGGAGGGACUCUUUCUUCUUGGAUGUGUUAAGGAGGACGUUCACUGCAGGCUCUUUACCACACCCCACAUGUGGUGCUAUAUGUUCCAAGACCUAGCAGCCGAGUAGGAUUAUUCCUGGAUUGUGAAGGUAGAACCAUGAGCAUUGUUGAUGUUGAUCAAAGUUCCCUUAUAUACACCAUCCAUAAUUGUGCCUUCUCACCUCUUCUCAGGCCUAUCUUUUGCUGUAGUCACU